This 216-nucleotide ribosomal RNA is filed under the name Triticum aestivum (bread wheat). Its description in RNAcentral is "partial small subunit ribosomal RNA". The record is from RNAcentral. Lineage: Eukaryota; Viridiplantae; Streptophyta; Magnoliopsida; Poales; Poaceae.
AUGCUUCUCUUAUCGAUUUGGAGUUGGGAGCACUUGCCAGUGGGGCAGCCGACACCAAAGGGUUACGAGCCGUGGGAUGAUCAUGAUGACCCGGACCGUAUGCCUACAUGGGCUUAUAAGUGGGACAAGGUUGAAGGUUUUGUUGGCAAUUCAAGGACCAUGUAUUUGCACUACUGCAAUGAGCUCGACAUCAUGACCCCGGAGCAGGCAUCUUAG